RNAcentral lists this unclassified non-coding RNA (236 nucleotides) under Hevea brasiliensis (rubber tree). Lineage: Eukaryota; Viridiplantae; Streptophyta; Magnoliopsida; Malpighiales; Euphorbiaceae. The record is from RNAcentral.
GGCUCGGAUCAAGGUCGCUGCUCGGUUGCACGGUAGCAGCAGAAGUAGCAGGGGCUGCUGAAAAAGCGCGCGCGAGGAGAUUCGGGAAGACAGAUGAUGGUGAGAUAGUUUGAGAUCUAGGAUGGUAAGAGGAGAAAGAAGAGGAAGAUAUGGAUCUUCGAGAUGAUGACCAGAGACGACAGAGUAAUGGACCCGCCAUUUCCACCAGAAACGGCAGAGCUUUUAAGAGGUUUUAG